UACGGAGGGUGCAAGCGUUAUCCGGAUUUACUGGGCUUAAAGGGCGCGUAGGCGGUUUGGUAAGUCCGUGGUGAAAUCUCUGGGCUUAACUCAGAAACUGCCAUUGAUACUAUCAGUCUUGAAUACCGUGGAGGUCAGCGGAAUAUGUCAUGUAGCGGUGAAAUGCUUAGAUAUGACAUAGAACACCAAUUGCGAAGGCAGCUGGCUACACGAAUAUUGACACUGAGGCACGAAAGCGUGGGGAUCAAACAGG
This 253-nucleotide ribosomal RNA is filed under the name uncultured bacterium. Its description in RNAcentral is "partial 16S ribosomal RNA". It matches the Rfam family "Bacterial small subunit ribosomal RNA", at positions 524 to 776 of the family's 1533-position model. The record is from RNAcentral.